Molecule: long non-coding RNA, 1850 nt
Organism: Cyprinus carpio carpio
Lineage: Eukaryota; Metazoa; Chordata; Actinopteri; Cypriniformes; Cyprinidae
Source: Ensembl
CUUCAUUUAUGUCUAUGCCAGUCAGUUCUUUGUAGUUAUUAGUCAAAUCUCUUCUGGGCAAUUUGUGUUUACAGAAAUGUCAUCUCUGGUUCCAUGUAAUUUUAUUAUAGCUCUGCCAAAGGGGGGACCAUUGGUCCAUCACCCUACAGAGGCCAUGCAGGUAGCCCAUCACCGUACAGCCUCAACACCUCUGGUCCAUCACCUGGUGGAGGCCAUACACCCAGCCCAUCACUGUACAGCCUCAACACCCCUGGUCCAUCACCUGGUGGAGGCCAUACACCCAGUCCAUCACUGUACAGCCUCAACACCUCCGGUCCAUCACCUGGUGGAGGCCAUACACCCAGCCAGCAAGAAAAUGCAUGGACACCAUGUCAGGAUUGUAAGGGGGAGUUUGAAAGAAUCCUACAGGAAAAGGGAAGGAUCGAUGAAGUCAUCUCGAGAAUAGAUCCAGGCCAGGUCAGAGAGCUUCAGACUCUCUGCGACUUAAUUGGAGAGAGAUAUUGUGGCAGCCCAGCUUCACCAUCAGGCCAGCAGGAGCUGUUUCCUGGGAGCGGCAUAUUCAUCUCAUCAUUCCGCCUGGCUGCCAUGAAUCACGCAUCAAAACCAAAUUGCAUGCGUCUGUUUCAUGCACUUUUUGAUCAUUUCUUCACUGUUGAGGAGUGUCAAAAUGCAGUGCCCUUUGGUCGCCCUGGCAACAACCCCUCAGGAAAGGAAGGAAAGCAGGUCCUUGACCGUAAAAAAGUUGACGGAAUCCUAACUUAUGUCCUGAGAUGUGCAACUCUACCGGACUGGGAACCAAUUGAGGAGGCCAAGCUCAAGAGAGCCUUUGUGAACAAAUGUAGGGCCAGAGCAGGCUCCAAGGAGUAGGCCACUGAUAUAGCCUGUCCUAUGUGGACCGCUAUCUCUCUCUCUCUACCCCUUCUUUUAUUUUUUAUUUUUUCUUUUAUUUUUUAUUCAUUUUCAUGGUAAUAUGUUAAUAUAGUUAGUAGUAGUAGGCAACGGGACCACCAGACCGGUAAUGACCAUGGCAAAUUCACAUACGGUAGUCUACUGCCGGCAACAGCACCGAUCGGGUCAGAAUGAACACCAUCAACGACAACGACUCCUAUUGGCUGCUCCCAUUCACCUCCGGUUCAACCUCGGAGUUGGUACAUUCCCUUUCCGGUUGUUGAUAUUUGUAAAUUUGUCUUGGUGUUUGUAAAAGUGUGUUCUUGGUAAUUUGUUUUCUGAAAUUUAAAUUUGUUUCGGGACUUGUAAAUGUGUUAUGGUAAUGUAAUUUGUUUUAUGAUAUGUAAAAAUGUUUUAUAAAAUUUAAAUUGGUCUCAAGCUCUGUAAAAGUGUUUCAGAUUUUGUAAUGUUAGUUUGCACCUCCAGGCCACCGUACUUUUCAUGUGUGUGUGAGCCAAACAUUAUUGUUCCAUGUGCUAGUCAGUGUUUUAUUUUUACAAUCUGGAAGUGUUGUACUGUACUAGUGAUGUCCCCACACUCUAGCACCUACAUCUGAGGAGUGAGCUGAGUUGGUACAAGUGUGCCUUACUAUAGUUAGCAUUCUAACCAAACCCUGUAAUCUUUUCAUGUUGGUUUGCACCUCCAGGCCACCAUACUUUUCAUGUGUGAGCCUAACAUUGUUGUUCCACGUAUCCCACGUUCCACUUGCUGGUCAGUGUUUUUUGUCUUAAAGUGUUGUACUGGUGUUACACAAAUACAGUUUUCAACUUUUCAAUAUCGAGUAUUGUUUAUACAGUUAUUUCUAAUUAAUAAAGAUAAUUAAUCUUUAAAUUGCAUUCUCAAUUUGUUCUUGUAUUUCUCAAAUAUACCUCAGAUAUUCUCAUAUAUAGCUUCAGUAAGAC